RNAcentral lists this ribosomal RNA (505 nucleotides) under uncultured bacterium. RNAcentral describes it as "partial 16S ribosomal RNA". It matches the Rfam family "Bacterial small subunit ribosomal RNA", at positions 28 to 507 of the family's 1533-position model. The record is from RNAcentral.
GACGAACGCUGGCGGCGUGCCUAAUACAUGCAAGUAGAACGCACAGUUUAUACCGUAGCCUGCUACACCAUAGACUGUGAGUUGCGAACGGGUGAGUAACGCGUAGGUAACCUGCCUGGUAGCGGGGGAUAACUAUUGGAAACGAUAGCUAAUACCGCAUAAUAUUAAUUAUUGCAUGAUAAUUAAUUGAAAGGUGCAAUUGCACCACUACCAAAUGGACCUGCGUUGUAUUAGCUAGUAGGUGAGGUAACGGCUCACCUAGGCGACGAUACAUAGCCGACCUGAGAGGGUGAUCGGCCACACUGGGACUGAGACACGGCCCAGACUCCUACGGGAGGCAGCAGUAGGGAAUCUUCGGCAAUGGACGAAAGUCUGACCGAGCAACGCCGCGUGAGUGAAGAAGGUUUUCGGAUCGUAAAGCUCUGUUGUAAGAGAAGAACGGGUGUGAGAGUGGAAAGUUCACACUGUGACGGUAUCUUACCAGAAAGGGACGGCUAACUACGUG